UCUCCGUAGGUGAACCUGCGGAGGGAUCAUUACUGAGUGAGGGCUCCGGCCCGACCUCCAACCCCAUGUGAACCAAAACCUGUUGCUUCGGGGGCGACCCUGCCGUUUCGACGGCGAGCGCCCCCGGAGGCCUUCAAACACUGCAUCUUUGCGUCGGAGUUUAAGUAAAUUAAACAAAACUUUCAACAACGGAUCUCUUGGUUCUGGCAUCGAUGAAGAACGCAGC
This 226-nucleotide unclassified non-coding RNA is filed under the name uncultured fungus. RNAcentral's name for it is "sequence contains ITS1, 5.8S rRNA gene". The stretch from base 178 to 226 matches the Rfam family "5.8S ribosomal RNA", at positions 1 to 49 of the family's 154-position model. Lineage: Eukaryota; Fungi. The record is from RNAcentral.